This 945-nucleotide ribosomal RNA is filed under the name Leucocoprinus sp. 177287. RNAcentral describes it as "LSU rRNA". It matches the Rfam family "Eukaryotic large subunit ribosomal RNA", at positions 36 to 966 of the family's 3401-position model. The record is from RNAcentral. Lineage: Eukaryota; Fungi; Basidiomycota; Agaricomycetes; Agaricales; Agaricaceae.
UAGCAUAUCAAUAAGCGGAGGAAAAGAAACUAACAAAGGAUCCCCUAGUAACUGCGAGUGAAGCGGGAAAAGCUCAAAUUUAAAAUCUGGCAGUCUCUGGCUGUCCGAGUUGUAAUCUAGAGAAGUGCUGCCCGCGCUGGACCGUGUACAAGUCUCCUGGGAUGGAGCGUCAUAGAGGGUGAGAAUCCCGUCUCUGACACGGACUACCAGGGCUUUGUGGUACGCUCUCAAAGAGUCGAGUUGUUUGGGAAUGCAGCUCAAAAUGGGUGGUAAAUUCCAUCUAAAGCUAAAUAUUGGCGAGAGACCGAUAGCGAACAAGUACCGUGAGGGAAAGAUGAAAAGAACUUUGGAAAGAGAGUUAAACAGUACGUGAAAUUGCUGAAAGGGAAACGCUUGAAGUCAGUCACAUUGGCUGGGGAUCAGCCUCGCUCUUUUGCGUGGUGUACUUCCUGGUUGAUGGGUCAGCAUCAAUUUUGACCGCUGGAAAAAGGCUUGAGGAAUGUGGCAGCUCCGGCUGUGUUAUAGCUUCUUGUCACAUACAGCGGUUGGGAUUGAGGAACUCAGCACGCCGCAAGGCCGGGUUUCGACCACGUUCGUGCUUAGGAUGCUGGCAUAAUGGCUUUAAGCGACCCGUCUUGAAACACGGACCAAGGAGUCUAACAUGCCUGCGAGUGUUUGGGUGGAAAACCCGAGCGCGUAAUGAAAGUGAAAGUUGAGAUCCCUGUCGUGGGGAGCAUCGACGCCCGGACCAGAACUUUUGGGACGGAUCCGCGGUAGAGCAUGUAUGUUGGGACCCGAAAGAUGGUGAACUAUGCCUGAAUAGGGUGAAGCCAGAGGAAACUCUGGUGGAGGCUCGUAGCGAUUCUGACGUGCAAAUCGAUCGUCAAAUUUGGGUAUAGGGGCGAAAGACUAAUCGAACCAUCUAGUAGCUGGUUCCUGCCGAAU